This is a non-coding RNA of Hydra vulgaris (swiftwater hydra), 1079 nucleotides long. NCBI's taxonomy places the organism in Eukaryota, Metazoa, Cnidaria, Hydrozoa, Anthoathecata, Hydridae. The record is from RefSeq and is a predicted model, not a curated record.
UAUUCAUCACAAAUAUAUUGAAACCAAUGAAAGUUUCUUUCAGAAAUUAAUGGCAGUGAAGUGGUACCUACAGUUGCAGCUCAAAAUAAGUAGGUUUGAAACUGUCUUUGUGUUGAUUGUGUUCUUUCUUUUAAUAUUUUCUUUACUUGAUAAAAUUAGUAAACUUUGGCCAAAUUUAAUUAGUAAUUUAGUAAUUUGCCUUUCAUUUUUGUUUUUCAGUUCUACUUAUAGAGCAAUACGUGGUAUAGAUACAAAGACGUGGUAUUAAAAAAUGCUACAGUUAAAAAAAAUCGUUUUACGAUUUUUUUGAGGUAAUUGUGAGCCUAAGGCUGAUGAUAAAUAGUACAUCUGGCUCCGUAUAUAUGUAUACACACAAACACACACAAGCUAUUUACAAAUCGAUAUUUCUAUAUUUAGGGUAAACUUUAGGCAAAGAAUGCGAGGAACUGUUAAACUGUUAUGAACAUAUUAUGCACUAUACCAUAUCAUGCACUACACGUGGCGCUCAGUUUACUCGACGAUCCAACUUAACAGGAUAUUAUCCAUUUUUCUAAUAUAUAUACAUAGAUGCAAAGUAUUCAAAAUGAUUAUAUUGUUAUUUAUAUAUUUAGGAUACAUUUAAACUAAAGACUAUGAAGAGCUGUAAAACUGCUAUUGGCAACAGUUGAUAAUACUAGACGCAUGUGUUAGUAAGUAAUUUGAAUCUCUGGUUGGAAUUCUUUUAAAUGCUUUUAUGCUUUUUACCCAUUGUUGCUGUGGAAAAGCUCAAUACCAAAGAUUUAAUAAAGGCAGAGUUAGGCAGGGUCGAAGGAUAUUUUUCGAACUAAUAAUCCAUUGUAGUGAAAAACGAACUAGUUCAAUCUUUUAAAAAAAAAAAGUUUUUUAGAUCAUAAUCGUCUUUGAAGUAAAAAAGUAAACAUGCCCAGUGGGCACAAGAAGCGUUUUAAACGUCUAAAUCACGUAUUAAAACGUUUUAAUACAUAUUCUAGACGUUUAAAACACGUCUCGUGCCCAUUGGGUGAUUUGAAGUAAAUUUCCAUUUGUUUUAUUUUUUUCAAGAAAAAAAAUUUGAAACUAAA